Molecule: long non-coding RNA, 1368 nt
Filed under: Toxoplasma gondii VEG
Lineage: Eukaryota; Apicomplexa; Conoidasida; Eucoccidiorida; Sarcocystidae
Source: RNAcentral
AGGCGGCGCGGCGAGCAACGAAGACCGAUACGACCGCGAGGAGGAUUCGCCGUGCAAGCAAAGAAGAUGGAUGUGCGCAGGAACUAGAGGCUGGACGAAAGGCAGUGUUUUGUUCUAAAUCGGCGCCUGAGAGGAAUCUCCAAGGGAGAGAAAUGCGAAGAAUUCACUCACAGGGACGCAGAAAUGCCAAACGAGAAAUGCCAAACGAGAAGUGAGCAGGGGGAAUCUGGAGCGGAGAAAUGAGAAACGAAGAAUGAGCUCGCGAGAAAAGACCUUCGCGCCUCGAGGCAAAAACCUUCCGGUCGACGGAGAUUCUGCUCGAAAUCAGGUGUAUGCGCAGCUGGCGGAUCUUCAGAUUCGACUGAAUAAGAUUCCAGUGCUGUAUAUUCAUCUUACGUAUUAUAUACAGGAGGAGGCAGUGUAUGUCGCUAUAUGCAUCCGCUCUCUCUAUGGUUCUACUGUGGCCUUGACAGCUUCAGAUGUUGAUGUUCAGAGACAGGCCGUCUUAGUGUACUACUAGGUACUCUUUGUUCGUUCCAGAUGGUGAGGCGUCUGUACGUAGCACCGGAGAAAGCGAGACGAAACUAAACAGGCAUCCAAGCGUGGUAGGUCCAUCGCUGUAGCUCCCGUCAGACGAUCCUCACUCAGGUUAUGUGUGUUGAAAUGAACAACAGUGCGAGAGAGAUUGAUCUGUCGCAUGCCGAAGUUAAGUUGCCACCACCCUAGUGCUACUCUUCCAUCUAGAUGUUCGUCGCUAGCCGAGAAAGGACUCGCGAGUAAAAAAACCAAGACUCGUCCCUCCACUGAAGUCAGCCAAGUACACCGGAGCGAACGAGGAGAAAACGUCCGGGUCUGCGGCUUCGCUUCGUUUUUCUCUCGAGGCGAAGUUCCACAUAGAGAGCAGCAGAGGCGGGUGCAUGUGGGUCUGUAAGGAUCGGUAAACUGAGCAAAGCCAAAUGUUUGGUGUUGUCCAUGUACACUCAUUUCUAUCCAUUUCUUUGGUGUGUCUCUUUACAAGAAGUACGGAUUUGUGUAACAGCACACUGGGUGGAGACACCUGAGCUCGAAGGGGAAAACGAGCAGCGACUUCAUCGAGGAAGUCGACGCCGCGUUCCCUCAUUGCCUUUGUUUCCUCACGGGCAGCGCCUCUCGUUCUUCAAGUGAUAACCAGGAGAUCCCUGCUGCGUCUUCUGGAGAAAGAGGCGGCGCGCUACUGCAGAGGUGUGUGUACACCCGAAGAGAGCGGACGAGGAAAUCUGUCCAACGAAGAUCUUUUCAGCCUCUUUGAGUCGUUUUUCACAUGCGAAAACGGUGGGGUGUACAGACACGAAGGGCGAGAAGCGCUGUGCUCUGAAGUCCCCAAAGGCC